RNAcentral lists this ribosomal RNA (874 nucleotides) under Microbacterium imperiale. RNAcentral describes it as "bacterial SSU rRNA". It matches the Rfam family "Bacterial small subunit ribosomal RNA", at positions 39 to 924 of the family's 1533-position model. The record is from RNAcentral. Lineage: Bacteria; Bacillati; Actinomycetota; Actinomycetes; Micrococcales; Microbacteriaceae.
GCGGCGUGCUUAACACAUGCAAGUCGAACGGUGAAGCAGAGCUUGCUCUGUGGAUCAGUGGCGAACGGGUGAGUAACACGUGAGCAAUCUGCCCCUGACUCUGGGAUAAGCGCUGGAAACGGCGUCUAAUACCGGAUACGAGCUGCGAUCGCAUGGUCAGUAGCUGGAAAGAAUUUCGGUCAGGGAUGAGCUCGCGGCCUAUCAGCUUGUUGGUGAGGUAAUGGCUCACCAAGGCGUCGACGGGUAGCCGGCCUGAGAGGGUGACCGGCCACACUGGGACUGAGACACGGCCCAGACUCCUACGGGAGGCAGCAGUGGGGAAUAUUGCACAAUGGGCGGAAGCCUGAUGCAGCAACGCCGCGUGAGGGAUGACGGCCUUCGGGUUGUAAACCUCUUUUAGCAGGGAAGAAGCGAAAGUGACGGUACCUGCAGAAAAAGCGCCGGCUAACUACGUGCCAGCAGCCGCGGUAAUACGUAGGGCGCAAGCGUUAUCCGGAAUUAUUGGGCGUAAAGAGCUCGUAGGCGGUCUGUCGCGUCUGCUGUGAAAACCCGAGGCUCAACCUCGGGCCUGCAGUGGGUACGGGCAGACUAGAGUGCGGUAGGGGAGAUUGGAAUUCCUGGUGUAGCGGUGGAAUGCGCAGAUAUCAGGAGGAACACCGAUGGCGAAGGCAGAUCUCUGGGCCGUAACUGACGCUGAGGAGCGAAAGGGUGGGGAGCAAACAGGCUUAGAUACCCUGGUAGUCCACCCCGUAAACGUUGGGGACUAGUUGUGGGGUCCAUUCCACGGAUUCCGUGACGCAGCUAACGCAUUAAGUUCCCCGCCUGGGGAGUACGGCCGCAAGGCUAAAACUCAAAGGAAUUGACGGGGACCCGC